GCCUAAAACCUAGCCCACGCACGCGCACAAAAACAUUCACACACACACAUUUACACACAAAAGCAUUUCCUCUUUCAGAGUAGUGGUGAACAAAAACCUUCUUGGAGCUAAAGAUUGAGUACCGUAAGGGAAUGGUGAAAUAGAGCUGAAAUAGAGUUAAAGCUACUAAAAGCAGAGUCAGCUCUCGUACCUUUUGCAUCAUGGUCUAACUAGUAAAUUAGAGCAUAAUAAGCCUUUUAGUUCUACAUCCCGAAACUAGGCGAGCUACUUCGAGAUAGCUACCCUGAGCGAACCCGUCUCUGUUGCAAAAGAGUGGGAAAAUCUCCAAGUAGCGGCGAUAUACCUAUCGAGCUUAGAGAUAGCUGGUUAUUCAGGAAAAGAAUUUUAGUUCUACUUUAAGACUGUAAAAUUUUAUAAAACAUAAAACCCAGCUUAAAAGCUAUUCAAAUAGGGCACAGCUUAUUUGAACAAGGACACAGCCUAUUAAAUAGGGUAAUUCCCCCCCCCCCCCAAAAAAAAAUAAGUGGGCCUAACAGCAGCCACCUUUGAAACCGCGUCAAAGCAUCAUUUUUUCCGAUACAUAAUCCCACUAACCUCUUCCCAACCCUUUAUUAUUACUGAAUGAUUUUAUACAACUAUAAAACACCUUCUGUUAGAACUAGUAACAAGAAGUCGACCUUCUCCUAAAUACAAACUUAAACCAGAUUUGACAAGCUGCUGGUAUUUAACGCAAAUGAUUAAAUCUGCUCGCGUUACCCUGACACUAGUGUAUUAAAGGAAAGAUUAAAAGACAGAAAAGGAACUCGGCAAAUACUCUAGCCCCGCCUGUUUACCAAAAACAUCGCCUCCUGAUAAACAAACAUAGGAGGUCCAGCCUGCCCGGUGACAACUUAAACGGCCUCGGUACCCUGACCGCGCGAAGGUAGCGUAAUCACUUGUUCUUUAAAUAGGGACCUGUAUCAACGGCAUCACGAGGGCUAGACUGUCUCAUCUGUCUAAUCAGUGAACCUGAUCUCUUCGUGAAAAAGCGAAGAUUAAAAUAUAAGACAAGAAGACCCCAUGGAGCUUUAAACCUAACGAUACCUUCGUUUAUAAAAGCCUAAAAAAACAGGAAGCCUGUCGGCCCGUUUUAGGAUGGGGCAUCCGAGGAGUAUAGCCUAGCCUCCCCGACGUUAAAUUAUCUAAGACAUACAAGUCUAUGAAACAGAAAACUGACGUAAUGUGAUCCGCAAUCGAUCAACGAACCAAGUUACCCUGGGGAUAACAGCGCCAUCCACUUUGAGAGUUCCUAUCGACAAGUGGGUUUACGACCUCGAUGUUGGAUCAGGGUAUCCCAGUGGUGCAGCCGCUACUAAAGGUUCGUUUGUUCAACGAUUAAAACCCUACGUGAUCUGAGUUCAGACCGGAGUAAUCCAGGUCGGUUUAUAUCUAUAAAGCACUACUUCUAGUACGAAAGGAUCGAAGUAGUAUGGCCAAUCUUAUAAAUACGCCAUCUUUCCUACUAAUGAUUUUAACUCAAUUAGUGUUACAACUCCUAUUAUGCCUUAGAACAGGGUUAACCUCAGGAUAGCACACUGCACAAAACACUUUAAUGG
This 1595-nucleotide ribosomal RNA is filed under the name Phrynobatrachus latifrons (Ahl's river frog). RNAcentral's name for it is "16S ribosomal RNA". It matches the Rfam family "Bacterial large subunit ribosomal RNA". Lineage: Eukaryota; Metazoa; Chordata; Amphibia; Anura; Phrynobatrachidae. The record is from RNAcentral.